AGUGAACGCUGGCGGUAGGCCUAACACAUGCAAGUCGAACGGCAGCACAGUAAGAGCUUGCUCUUACGGGUGGCGAGUGGCGGACGGGUGAGGAAUACAUCGGAAUCUACUUUUUCGUGGGGGAUAACGUAGGGAAACUUACGCUAAUACUGCAUACGACGUACGGGUGAAAGCAGGGGAUCUUCGGACCUUGCGCGAGUGAAUGAGCCGAUGUCGGAUUAGCUAGUUGGCGGGGUAAAGGCCCACCAAGGCGACGAUCCGUAGCUGGUCUGAGAGGAUGAUCAGCCACACUGGAACUGAGACACGGUCCAGACUCCUACGGGAGGCAGCAGUGGGGAAUAUUGGACAAUGGGCGCAAGCCUGAUCCAGCCAUACCGCGUGGGUGAAGAAGGCCUUCGGGUUGUAAAGCCCUUUUGUUGGGGAAGAAAAGCAGCAGGUUAAUACCCCGCUGUUCUGACGGUACCCAAAGAAUAAGCACCGGCUAACUUCGUG
This 492-nucleotide ribosomal RNA is filed under the name uncultured bacterium. Its description in RNAcentral is "partial 16S ribosomal RNA". It matches the Rfam family "Bacterial small subunit ribosomal RNA", at positions 29 to 507 of the family's 1533-position model. The record is from RNAcentral.